Molecule: ribosomal RNA, 253 nt
Filed under: uncultured bacterium
Lineage: Bacteria
Description: partial 16S ribosomal RNA
Rfam family: Bacterial small subunit ribosomal RNA
Source: RNAcentral
UACGGAGGGUGCAAACGUUGCUCGGAAUCAUUGGGCGUAAAGCGCACGUAGGCGGCCUGUUAAGUCGGAUGUGAAAGCCCCGGGCUCAACCCGGGAAGUGCAUUCGAAACUGGCGGGCUUGAAUAUGGAAGAGGGUCGCGGAAUUCCAGGUGUAGCGGUGAAAUGCGUAGAUAUCAGGAGGAACACCGAUGGCGAAGGCAGGUCUCUGGGCCGAUACUGACGCUGAGGAGCGAAAGCGUGGGGAGCGAACAGG